GUGCUCACUUCGGCAGCACAUAUACUAAAAUUGGAAUGAUACAGAGAUUAGCGUGGACCCUCGCAAGAAAAAGGUAGUAUUUAUAAAGAGAUUAUAUCACUGCUA
Molecule: small nuclear RNA, 105 nt
Organism: Suncus etruscus (white-toothed pygmy shrew)
Lineage: Eukaryota; Metazoa; Chordata; Mammalia; Eulipotyphla; Soricidae
Source: RefSeq, a predicted model, not a curated record